Molecule: long non-coding RNA, 1253 nt
Filed under: Sinocyclocheilus anshuiensis
Lineage: Eukaryota; Metazoa; Chordata; Actinopteri; Cypriniformes; Cyprinidae
Description: lncRNA (ENSSANG00000000709.1)
Source: RNAcentral
CAAAGACUUGUACAAACAGGCCAAAUACACACUAAAUAGGGAGAUAAGAGUGGCAAAGUUAAACUACUCUGAAAAGCUAAAAAAACAGCUUUCAAGUAAUGACUCUACAUCAGUGUGGAAAGGCCUGAAAGCCAUCACCCGCUACAAGACCCCAUCCCCCAGCACUGAGGCCAAUCAACAACUGGCUGAAGACCUGAACGAGUUCUACUGCAGGUUUGAAAAGCAAAAGCCUGGUCUGACACCCCACACCCACUCCGACCGUCUCACAGCACAGCCAUCAACACCCUCCCCCUCCAUCCCCCCUACUGUUUCUCAUCCUGCACUCAAGAUCUGUGAAGAGGAUGUAUGCAAAGUCUUCAGAAAGCAGAAGAUAAGGAAAGCCAAAGGCCCAGACGGUGUCUCUCCAGCCUGCCUCAAAGCCUGUGCUGUCCAGCUAUCAUCCAUCUUCACAUUGAUCUUCAACAGAUCCCUGGAGCUGUGUGUAGUCCCCUCCUGCUUCAAACGUUCCACCAUCAUCCCUGUACCCAAGAAACCAAAAAUCACAGGACUUAAUGACUACAGACCUGUUGCUUUAACAUCUGUGGUCAUGAAGGCAUUUGAGAGACUGGUGUUGGCCUACUUGAAGGACAUUACUGGAUCCUUGCUGGACCCCCUGCAGUUUGCUUACCGAGCAAACAGGUCUGUGGAUGAUGCAGUCAAUAUGGGAUUGCACUACAUCCUCCAACAUCUGGACAAACCAGGGACUUAUGCAAGGAUCUUGUUUGUGGACUUCAGCUCCGCUUUCAACACCAUCAUCCCGGACACCCUUCAGAAUAAACUGACCCAGCUCUCUGUGCCCACCUUCAUCUGUCAAUGGAUCACCAGCUUUCUGACAGACAGGCAGCAGCUAGUGAGGCUGGGAAAACUCACAUCCAACACAGGCCAAAGAGGACGCCUACAGGAGUGGGGACAAAGACUUGUACAAACAGGCCAAAUACACACUGAAUAGGGAGAUAAGAGUGGCAAAGUUAAACUACUCUGAAAAGCUAAAAAAACAGCUUUCAAGUAAUGACUCUACAUCAGUGUGGAAAGGCCUGAAAGCCAUCACCCGCUACAAGACCCCAUCCCCCAGCACUGAGGCCAAUCAACAACUGGCUGAAGACCUGAACGAGUUUUACUGCAGGUUUGAAAAGCAAAAGCCUGGUCUGACACCCCACACCCACUCCGACCGUCUCACAGCACAGCCAUCAACACCCUCCCCCUCCAUCCCCCCU